UGCAGAUAAAGGGAAACCCUGUUGGAGGU
RNAcentral lists this non-coding RNA (29 nucleotides) under Homo sapiens (human). The record is from RNAcentral. Lineage: Eukaryota; Metazoa; Chordata; Mammalia; Primates; Hominidae.